GGCUUUUUUGUUGUCCUCCUUGGCGAGAAAAGGGCCCCAUGAUGUAGAAUCUUGUUACGUGGUGGCUCUUAGAAUCACCAUAGAAACAGACAUCGAAGCACGUGCGAGGGGUUUUCCAGAUUCGGCUAACAGAGAUGGGAAGACCUACCUGGGAUGUGGUUGGCAUCGUUCCAUGGCAGGGGCUCUGGUAUGACUCAGAAGGGCUGUUUCCCAAAUGAGCCACCGGAUGCAUCUAACAUUUCUACAGACCUUGAAGACUCAGACAGAAAUCAUGUAUUCAGUGUCACCUCUAGGUCCCUCUGCUGGAACCCACAACAGGACCCUGUCUGCUCAUUUA
Rattus norvegicus (Norway rat) is the source of this 337-nucleotide non-coding RNA. Lineage: Eukaryota; Metazoa; Chordata; Mammalia; Rodentia; Muridae. The record is from RefSeq and is a predicted model, not a curated record.